Molecule: long non-coding RNA, 755 nt
Organism: Notothenia coriiceps (black rockcod)
Lineage: Eukaryota; Metazoa; Chordata; Actinopteri; Perciformes; Nototheniidae
Exons: 2
Source: RefSeq, a predicted model, not a curated record
UGAGAUAAAUGACACGUGUACUGCUGGGACCUGGUGGAGGGAUCUCUUUCGCUGAAGCUUCCUGUGGGGAAAGCUGUCGUCCAAUCACUGUCCUUCCACCCCACAGAGACCCGCCUCCUCACCGCCAUGGAGGGGCGUGUCCAGGUGUGGGGGGCGGAGCCUGAGGAGGAGGAGGAGGAGGAGGAGGACGCCAUGGCCACGGCCACGUAGAGGUGGAGGAAAUAUGAGUUUGCAUCGUGAGAAGAUUGUAUUUUCUAUCAUAACAAUUAAAUACUCAACUUUCAACACCAUCGACCUCAUGGUGGCAUAAAAACCUCUUACUUCCAUGUUUAGUUUUUGAGUCACAAGGCGUCGUUGGAAAGAAAUAAGAAUAUUCAGAAAACAUAAAUCUCUCAAAAGCAGUGUUUGUAACCUUUUAAUUGGACUAAACAUUUUCAUUUUUUUUGCUAGAAGUGAGUUAUUUAAAUCUACUGCUUUGAUUUAGAUAACUUCAGAUAUCUGGAUGAUCUUAUUGGUUCAUUUCUUCAUUAAAAUGUAAUUCUCCUAAGAUUGAAGCUAUUGCUAAACAUAGUUUAAUACAAAAACUACAAAGUAAAAACAACCUUUUAGAGGCUUUGGUUCACAAAUGUACAGAAAACAUGACCUGGAUUUGGAUUUAAGUGGAUGAUAGUUAUUUGCACACGACUUUGAUUUUUGUCUGUGUGCAAAACUUCUAUUUUUGUACAAAACGUUAAAUAAACCUGUUUUUCAUGUCA